AGCUAUUAUGUUCGCCUAUCAACCAAGCCCUUGGAGCUAUUAUGCCUAUAUUCGAAACCGACACAGGUGGGUAGGUAGAGAAUACCUGGGAGCACGAGACAACUCUCUCUAAGAACUCGACAAAAUAGCCCCGUAACUUCGGGAGAAUGGGUGCCUCCUCACAAAGGGGUCGUAGAGACCAUGCUCAAGCGACUGUAUACCCAAAACACGGGUCUCCUCAAAGUCGUAAGACCAUUUAUGGGGACUGACGAUCCUAAGGUAGCGAAAUUCCUUGUCGGAAAAAUUUCGACCCACACAAAAAGCGUAAUGAUCUGGACACGGUCUCAACGUGGUAAAA
Ribosomal RNA from Vigna angularis (adzuki bean), 337 nucleotides. It matches the Rfam family "Bacterial large subunit ribosomal RNA", at positions 1308 to 2041 of the family's 2925-position model. NCBI's taxonomy places the organism in Eukaryota, Viridiplantae, Streptophyta, Magnoliopsida, Fabales, Fabaceae. The record is from Rfam.